UGGGGAAUUUUGGACAAUGGGCGAAAGCCUGAUCCAGCAAUGCCGCGUGUGUGAAGAAGGCCUUCGGGUUGUAAAGCACUUUUGUCCGGAAAGAAAUCCUCUGGGUUAAUACCUCGGGGGGAUGACGGUACCGGAAGAAUAAGCACCGGCUAACUACGUGCCAGCAGCCGCGGUAAUACGUAGGGUGCAAGCGUUAAUCGGAAUUACUGGGCGUAAAGCGUGCGCAGGCGGUUUUGUAAGACGGAUGUGAAAUCCCCGGGCUUAACCUGGGAACUGCAUUCGUGACUGCAAGGCUAGAGUAUGGCAGAGGGGGGUAGAAUUCCACGUGUAGCAGUGAAAUGCGUAGAGAUGUGGAGGAAUACCGAUGGCGAAGGCAGCCCCCUGGGCCAAUACUGACGCUCAUGCACGAAAGCGUGGGGAGCAAACAGGAUUAGAUACCCUGGUAGUCCACGCCCUAAACGAUGUCAACUAGUUGUUGGGGAUUCAUUUCCUUAGUAACGUAGCUAACGCGUGAAGUUGACCGCCUGGGGAGUACGGUCGCAAGAUUAAAACUCAAAUGAAUUGACGGGG
RNAcentral lists this ribosomal RNA (570 nucleotides) under uncultured bacterium. RNAcentral describes it as "partial 16S ribosomal RNA". It matches the Rfam family "Bacterial small subunit ribosomal RNA", at positions 355 to 918 of the family's 1533-position model. The record is from RNAcentral.